Molecule: non-coding RNA, 72 nt
Organism: Parelaphostrongylus tenuis
Lineage: Eukaryota; Metazoa; Nematoda; Chromadorea; Rhabditida; Metastrongylidae
Source: the annotation of a GenBank genome assembly
GCGUCGGUGGGUGUAGUGGUAGCACGCGGCCCCAGUACGAGUGGAACACGGGUUCAAUUGCCGUCUGAGGUC